CCCAACUAUCCCUAUUAAUCAUUACGGUGAUCCUAGAAACCAACAAAAUAGAACCAUGCCGUCCUAUUUUAUUAUUCCAUGCUAAUCUAUUCAAGCACUAGCCCGCUUUAAGCACUCUAAUUUUUUCAAGGUAAUAGAUCUGCUUCCCCAACGCACUAACUUAAUAGCAUGCUGGUUAUUCAGAAGGUAAGAAUCCAUCAAAUCAGUGCGGACAGUGAAGCCCGACCAAUUGACAAACCCCGAAAUUCAAC
RNAcentral lists this ribosomal RNA (251 nucleotides) under uncultured Acaulospora. Its description in RNAcentral is "partial 18S ribosomal RNA". Lineage: Eukaryota; Fungi; Glomeromycota; Glomeromycetes; Diversisporales; Acaulosporaceae. The record is from RNAcentral.